UUGCUUCUGCAGCAAAUAUAUUAAAUUUGGAAUGAUACAGAUAAGAUUAGCUUGGCCCUUGCACAAAGAUUCAUACAAAUUCGUGAAGGAUUCCAUAUUUUU
This 102-nucleotide small nuclear RNA is filed under the name Procavia capensis (Cape rock hyrax). The record is from RNAcentral. Lineage: Eukaryota; Metazoa; Chordata; Mammalia; Hyracoidea; Procaviidae.